AUGCCUAUGAAUCUGCCUGGGACUGAGGGAUAACGUUCGCUAACGGAAACUGAUACCGAAUACGUCCUACGGCAUAAAGCCAGGGAGCUUCAGGUCUUGGCCUCUCACAUGAGCAUGUGUCGGAUUAGCUUUAUGGUGAGGGAGUGGCUCAGCCUCGCCACGAUCCCUAUCUGGUCUGAGACGAAGAUCAUGCCCACUGGAACUGAAACUGAGACCAGACUCCUACUCGCAUUUUAGGUGGGGAAGAUUGAAAUUGGGGCGAAAGCCUGAUCCUGACGUGCCCCGGGUGUGAGGAAGGUCAUCGGAUUGUAAUUGACUUUAACUUUCGAGGAAGGGUAGUGGAUUAGUGCUCUGCACUUUUGACGUUGCCGUUACAAUAAGAACAGGCUAACUCUGUGCCCAGCAGCCGCGCGGUAAUACAAAAAGUGCAAGGCGUUAAUCGGAAUUACAGGGACGUAAAGCGCGCGCAGGUGGUUUGUUAAGUCGGAUGUGAAAUCCCCGCGCCUCAACCUGGGAACUGCAUUGCAAAACUGACUGACUAGAGCUAUGGUAGAGGGUGGUGGAAUUUAAUGUGUAGCGGUAGAAAUGCGUAGAUAUAAGAAGGAACACCAGUGCCGAAGGCGACCACCUGCACUAAUACUGACCCUCAGCUGAGAAAGCAUGGCGAGCAAAGCAGGAUUAGAUACGAUGCCCUGCCACGUCCACGCACUAAACCAUGUCAACUAGGACGUUGGAAGCCUUGACCCUGAUACUUCCGCUACCUAACGCAUUACACGUUGACUCCCCGGCGUGUGCAGUACCGCCGCAAGGUUAAAACUCAAAUGAAUUGACGGGAGCCCGCACAAGCCGGUGCAGCAUGUGAUCAUGUAAUUCAAAGCAACGCGAAGAACAUUACCAUAGCCUAGACAUGCCAAUGCAACUGUUUCUAGAGAUAGAUUGGUGCCUUCGGGAACUUUGAGACAGGUGCUGCAUGGCUGUCGUCAGCUCGUGUUAAGAAAUGUUGGGUUAAGUCCCGCAACGAGCGCAACCCUUGUCCUUAGUUACCAGCCCGGAAUGGUGGGCACUCUAAG
This 1070-nucleotide ribosomal RNA is filed under the name bacterium. Its description in RNAcentral is "bacterial SSU rRNA". It matches the Rfam family "Bacterial small subunit ribosomal RNA", at positions 113 to 1144 of the family's 1533-position model. The record is from RNAcentral.